UACGUAGGGUGCAAGCGUUGUCCGGAAUUAUUGGGCGUAAAGAGCUCGUAGGCGGUCUGUCGCGUCGGCUGUGAAAACUCGGGGCUCAACUCCGAGCUUGCAGUCGAUACGGGCAGACUAGAGUGAUGUAGGGGAGACUGGAAUUCCUGGUGUAGCGGUGAAAUGCGCAGAUAUCAGGAGGAACACCGAUGGCGAAGGCAGGUCUCUGGGCAUUAACUGACGCUGAGGAGCGAAAGCAUGGGGAGCGAACAGG
RNAcentral lists this ribosomal RNA (253 nucleotides) under uncultured bacterium. RNAcentral's name for it is "partial 16S ribosomal RNA". It matches the Rfam family "Bacterial small subunit ribosomal RNA", at positions 524 to 776 of the family's 1533-position model. The record is from RNAcentral.